CCAUGGUAAGCAACUUCACACAAGGUAAUCAUCCAGUAGGUCAAUAUGUUUAAAUGGUUUAAUACACAAUUUUGUAUAUCCUAAUCAGAUGGUUACCCCUUCCUCAUAAGGAAUGGAAACAAUAACAUAGAAAGGCAGAAACAGAGUGAUUGCCAUGAUAUCAGUUGUCUGACCCCUGUUCCUUCCCUUGUGUUGGUUCUUUCUCUCAUUUAGCGCAUGCCCUUGCACCAUAUCGAACAAUCUAAACUGAUACCAAAUAAGCUUGUACACCAUAAUGACAAGAGAUAUGCAUUCCCCUUCCAGUUGCCUGCACAUUUGGAAACAACAAAACAAAUCAUUCGAUUAGAAAUUCCCAGCUGCUAGUCUACAUUAUGAAAUAGGCAUACACAUAGUUAACUGAUGAUGCUUCUCUAAGAAAUGGAUUCCCCUGCAAGUUGCUUGCGCAUUUGGAACAACACAACAAAUCAUCUAAUGAACAUUCUCAGCUGCUGGUCUGCACUAUGAAAUAGGUAAAUAUCGACUUGGGCUAUACUCAGUUCAGUUUCUGUCACAAUAGGCCAUGUGCUUUCAUUGAUUGCAUGAAAGGUAUUUAGAUGGCCUCAAAAGCUUUGCGCAAUCUAACAUGCCGACCUUGUGAACUCGCUCACUGAAAGGUUAACAGUACCAAUGCAGGUGUUAAACUGCAGAAAGAAUGCACCAAUCUCCAAAAUUGUGGAAGAACUCUCAUUAUGAGGCAGAAAUGGCCAAACUGUUUUUGUAACACCUCAAUAUUCCAGAGCAGAGUUAUAAGAGGGGUCAUGAGUCGCUUUGGAAGCACGGGAAUGGCUAAAUAAUCUGCAAAAUCCGUAACAGACGCAAAUUAAUAUAAUUCUCGGAAGAAAUAUUGCUCUUGUGCAUGUGAUAAAUUUAAAUGUAAAACAUUUACAGUAAAGUCAACAAAAACGAACAGGAAUUUAAUUUAUUUUUUUAUAAAAACUAUACAUUGCACUCUUUGUAGCUAAGUUCUCCCGAGUGACCAUUCAUCAUACGACAAUAAGGUAAAUGUCAGUUUUACAAAAAUCACCAAGAUCGCCAAACACAAGACACAAGUUGCUUUAGAAGGAUGGGGAAGACCGAACAAAUGUAGCAACUGUAAUGAAGAAAAAAAAACAAAAGCCUUGGAAGUUGCGUUCCAUAUGUACGGAGAUGGCGCUGCCCAGAAGUUUGGUCACAAUUUUACAUUAAAGAAGCGCAAUAUCAAUGACUCCAGGCAUAAGACACACAUCCAUGUAACCAAGAGAAAUGUGUUGAAUAUUAGCAAAAUGUCAUUAUAUUCAUAGUUGCUUUACUUACCUUCAGUAUAUUAGUGUACAGACAUUUUCAACAAAGCAGAUAAUAAUAAAGAAGCACUCAAAAAAUAAUAUAGCAAUCAAGGCGAGGGGUGCUCACCUUAGGACGCCUUACCGCCAUAAGAACAUUGGCCCAUGGUUAGUACAACUACAAUUGCUUUGUUCCAAUGAAUUUAAGUAGUACCUGUAUCAUGGAUGACUAUUUGUAUCCCUUAAACCUCAGAUCAUGCAAUGCAAAAUAAUAAGUACUGAAAAGGAAGUAGUAGUCGAAACAACCAAAAUAUUGUCCUCUCUCCUGAUCUUGGCUGCACUUCGGAUAGAUCAGACCAUGGAAGUAGAAUUAAGAAUCAAUAAGGCCAGGCAAUGGUAUUCGUCGACGCCACAUAUAUGAUCUGUUUCACCCCAAAGAAGAAACAACAUAUGAUUUGGCUUUCAGCUUCUAAAACUAUAGAACAGUGAAUAAAUCGAGGCCCUGGCAAUCAAUAAUUUUAUCUCCAUUGGUCCUUUCAUCGGUUCAUGGAAAUAACUCUAUAGAGUAAAGCACAUCAAAGGACACACAGUUCAGAUGCAAAAAGCAAAUCCCUAGUUCAGUUCUAUUGAAAGAUAAAGAUGAUGACAAAGAUUCUAAGCUAGAUGGCACAUCUACACAAAGAACCAGCAUGACAAAUGCAAGGAAACCAGAGAUAAAUUUUUGGCUAAGAUUGAAGAAAAAAACAGGAUGAGCUCACCUUUGAUCUGCAAUAGCACAUUUAGGAAUAACCAAUUUCUUCCUCAAUCAUGCAAGUACCCAGGACAAAAGAAUCUUAUAGUUCGUGGGUGAGCAACCCUUCUGAAGCUCCUACAAAGAGAAAAUUUUGAACUUUAACCCAAAGCACAUAGUCACAAUGAUUAAACCCAAAGCACAUAGUCACUACGGGGAAAGGAACAUGGAAGGAAAAAAUGUCUUAGCUCACACAUUUUAUCGAUCAGGAGACGAGCAGAAAAGAUCUUACCUCCGGGAGCAAAUAACCACCUGAUGUAGUCACAUACCCGAGCAGCCUCGCUUCCAACGAAACAAACAAUCCUGUACCAACAAAGGAGGAAGAAGGAGGAAAACCGAACAGCAAGAGGUGAGGCAACUGAAAAUCGAUGCGGCCAUGUACGACGGCUGGAAUGGAUGGGGCAGCAUGCCGCUUGCUGCUGCGGCUGUCCUCCUCUCCACCCUUAGACGACAACUAUGAUACAUCUCCUGGGAACCCAGAUAAGCGUUAGAGUAAGCGUCUAGGCAAGCACCCCUACAAUGGAGAAAGCGAGAGAUAGAGAGAGUCCCA
This 2638-nucleotide long non-coding RNA is filed under the name Triticum aestivum (bread wheat). RNAcentral describes it as "long non-coding RNA (TAES_LNC018250)". Lineage: Eukaryota; Viridiplantae; Streptophyta; Magnoliopsida; Poales; Poaceae. The record is from RNAcentral.